UACGUAGGGUGCGAGCGUUGUCCGGAAUUAUUGGGCGUAAAGGGCUCGUAGGCGGUUUGUCGCGUCGGGAGUGAAAACCAGGUGCUUAACACCUGGCUUGCUUUCGAUACGGGCUGGCUAGAGGUAGGUAGGGGAGAACGGAAUUCCUGGUGUAGCGGUGAAAUGCGCAGAUAUCAGGAGGAACACCGGUGGCGAAGGCGGUUCUCUGGGCCUUACCUGACGCUGAGGAGCGAAAGCGUGGGGAGCGAACAGG
RNAcentral lists this ribosomal RNA (253 nucleotides) under uncultured bacterium. RNAcentral's name for it is "partial 16S ribosomal RNA". It matches the Rfam family "Bacterial small subunit ribosomal RNA", at positions 524 to 776 of the family's 1533-position model. The record is from RNAcentral.